This 443-nucleotide ribosomal RNA is filed under the name uncultured bacterium. RNAcentral's name for it is "bacterial SSU rRNA". It matches the Rfam family "Bacterial small subunit ribosomal RNA", at positions 331 to 792 of the family's 1533-position model. The record is from RNAcentral.
CCAGACUCCUACGGGAGGCAGCAGUAGGGAAUCUUUCACAAUGGGCGAAAGCCUGAUGGAGCAACGCCGCGUGCAGGAUGAAGGCCUUCGGGUUGUAAACUGCUUUUAUAAGCGAGAAAUAUGAUGGUAACUUAUGAAUAAGGAUCGGCUAACUCCGUGCCAGCAGCCGCGGUAAUACGGAGGAUGCGAGCGUUAUCCGGAUUUAUUGGGUUUAAAGGGUGCGCAGGCGGAAGAUCAAGUCAGCGGUAAAAUUGAGAGGCUCAACCUCUUCGAGCCGUUGAAACUGGUUUUCUUGAGUGAGUGAGAAGUAUGCGGAAUGCGUGGUGUAGCGGUGAAAUGCAUAGAUAUCACGCAGAACUCCGAUUGCGAAGGCAGCAUACCGGCGCUCAACUGACGCUCAUGCACGAAAGUGUGGGUAUCGAACAGGAUUAGAUACCCCCGUA